ACGAUGACUCUCGGCAACGGAUAUCUCGGCUCUCGCAUCGAUGAAGAACGUAGCGAAAUGCGAUACCUGGUGUGAAUUGCAGAAUCCCGUGAACCAUCGAGUCCUUGAACGCAAGUUGCGCCCGAGGCCACCCGGUCGAGGGCACGCCUGCCUGGGCGUCACGC
RNAcentral lists this ribosomal RNA (164 nucleotides) under Pinanga batanensis. Its description in RNAcentral is "5.8S rRNA". It matches the Rfam family "5.8S ribosomal RNA". Rfam says of the family: 5.8S ribosomal RNA (5.8S rRNA) is a component of the large subunit of the eukaryotic ribosome. It is transcribed by RNA polymerase I as part of the 45S precursor that also contains 18S and 28S rRNA. Functionally, it is thought that 5.8S rRNA may be involved in ribosome translocation. The record is from RNAcentral. Lineage: Eukaryota; Viridiplantae; Streptophyta; Magnoliopsida; Arecales; Arecaceae.